UGAUGGGAAUGGAGAAAAGGGGAAGGACACAACCAGGAAUCUCUUUCUGAACAGGGUAUCUCCCCUUUUGUUGCUUAUUUUACCUGCAGGGCCUCUCUGAGGGACUCCGGAGAGGCACUGAGAAUUGGCAGGUUACUUUACCAGCCUGCUGCUCCUACUGGGAAAGAUGGUGCCUGUGGAGAAAUCCUUUGCUGCUCUGGAAUCCAACCAACCUUCUUAGUUUCAGCCUCUGACUAGAAAAUUGGGAGGGAGAGAGUAAUGGCAGCUUGUUUGUAAAGAAAAAUGAAUUACACAAAGCCAGAUUUUACUUCCCUGACAUAACCUACUUCUUUCUCUUUCGUGAGAUUUCCCCAACAUCAUGGAGAGCCCUUGGUGCUGAUGCAAGAGCGACCGGGCAAAGAGCCUAUGCCAAGUUGAGGCUGGAUCACUUGUCUAAGGAUCCUAUAAAUGCUUCAGACAAGCGCUCACACACAGAAAUCCAUACAGGGCACAAUGAAGAAGAUAAUCAGGGAUCAAGAUGGCAGAGGAGGAAUAUCCUAAGCUGACCUCCCACGGACACACCAAAACUACAACUACCUAUAGAACAGCUAUCACUGAGAAUGACCUGAAGACUAGCAGAACAGGUCUUCCACAACUAAAGACAUAAAGAAAGAGCCACAUCAUGACAGGGGUGAUAAUACUGAUGUCACAAUAUGAAGAUUGUGACGAUGUGACAAUAUGAAGAUAUGAAGAUGUGAAGAUUAAGUGAGACAAUGCGUGCAAGAUACCUGGUCUAUCGUAAGCAUUCUCAAGUGGUAGCCGGUUUCAUAUCUGAUGACCUUGGACACUACGCUCCUGUCAUGAAUUACUUGGCUGACACCUCUGAUUGUAUUGCUUGGGAAACAAUUAUC
This is a long non-coding RNA of Herpailurus yagouaroundi (jaguarundi), 890 nucleotides long. RefSeq lists it as uncharacterized. The record is from RefSeq and is a predicted model, not a curated record. Lineage: Eukaryota; Metazoa; Chordata; Mammalia; Carnivora; Felidae. The transcript has 3 exons.